This 208-nucleotide ribosomal RNA is filed under the name uncultured bacterium. RNAcentral's name for it is "partial 16S ribosomal RNA". It matches the Rfam family "Bacterial small subunit ribosomal RNA", at positions 29 to 233 of the family's 1533-position model. The record is from RNAcentral.
AACGAACGCUGGCGGCGUGGAUUAGGCAUGCAAGUCGAACGCGAAAGGGGAGCAAUCCCUGAGUAGAGUGGCGAACUGGUGAGUAACAGGUGGGCAAUGUGCCCCCAAAGUGGGGGAUAACUCCGAGAAAUCGGAGCUAAUACCGCAUGUGGUGUUACAGGCUUCGGCUCAUAACAUUAAAGACGUAAUUCGCUUUGGGAUCGGCCCG